GACGAACGCUGGCGGCGUGCUUAACACAUGCAAGUCGAACGGUAAGGCCCUUCGGGGUACACGAGUGGCGAACGGGUGAGUAACACGUGGGUGAUCUGCCCUGCACUUCGGGAUAAGCCUGGGAAACUGGGUCUAAUACCGGAUAGGACCCUGGGAUGCAUGUCCUGGGGUGGAAAGCUUUUGCGGGGUGGGAUGGGCCCGCGGCCGAUCAGCUUGUUGGUGGGGUGAUGGCCUACCAAGGCGACGACGGGUAGCCGGCCUGAGAGGGUGACCGGCCACACUGGGACUGAGAUACGGCCCAGACUCCUACGGGAGGCAGCAGUGGGGAAUAUUGCACAAUGGGCGCAAGCCUGAUGCAGCGACGCCGCGUGAGGGAUGACGGCCUUCGGGUUGUAAACCUCUUUCAGCACCGACGAAGCGCAAGUGACGGUAGGUGCAGAAGAAGGACCGGCCAACUACGUGCCAGCAGCCGCAGUAA
RNAcentral lists this ribosomal RNA (478 nucleotides) under uncultured bacterium. Its description in RNAcentral is "partial 16S ribosomal RNA". It matches the Rfam family "Bacterial small subunit ribosomal RNA", at positions 28 to 523 of the family's 1533-position model. The record is from RNAcentral.